CCAUGCCGCGUGUGUGAAGAAGGUCUUCGGAUUGUAAAGCACUUUAAGUUGGGAGGAAGGGCAGUAAGUUAAUACCUUGCUGUUUUGACGUUACCGACAGAAUAAGCACCGGCUAACUUCGUGCCAGCAGCCGCGGUAAU
This 140-nucleotide ribosomal RNA is filed under the name uncultured Pseudomonas sp. RNAcentral describes it as "partial 16S ribosomal RNA". It matches the Rfam family "Bacterial small subunit ribosomal RNA", at positions 392 to 524 of the family's 1533-position model. The record is from RNAcentral. Lineage: Bacteria; Pseudomonadati; Pseudomonadota; Gammaproteobacteria; Pseudomonadales; Pseudomonadaceae.